This 253-nucleotide ribosomal RNA is filed under the name uncultured bacterium. Its description in RNAcentral is "partial 16S ribosomal RNA". It matches the Rfam family "Bacterial small subunit ribosomal RNA", at positions 524 to 776 of the family's 1533-position model. The record is from RNAcentral.
UACGUAGGGGGCAAGCGUUGCUCGGAAUCACUGGGCGUAAAGCGCACGUAGGCGGAUUGCUAAGUCAGGGGUGAAAUCCUGGAGCUCAACUCCAGAACUGCCUUUGAUACUGGCGGUCUCGAGUCCGGGAGAGGUGAGUGGAACUGCGAGUGUAGAGGUGAAAUUCGUAGAUAUUCGCAAGAACACCAGUGGCGAAGGCGGCUCACUGGCCCGGUACUGACGCUGAGGUGCGAAAGCGUGGGGAGCAAACAGG